Molecule: unclassified non-coding RNA, 210 nt
Filed under: Hevea brasiliensis (rubber tree)
Lineage: Eukaryota; Viridiplantae; Streptophyta; Magnoliopsida; Malpighiales; Euphorbiaceae
Source: RNAcentral
GAAUUUCUACCUGCCUGCCAUCCAAGGCGUUGAUCAUAAUUUAUUAAGAUACAUGGUUUUUAAGCAGGCAGGAUCCUUGUGUUGUUUUCAAGGAACUGUGGAAUUAAAGGCCUUAAGUCAGAAAUUUCUAAUUUGAUCCAAUUAAAACUACUUGUAUCUUAUGGAUGUGAUUCAGAUUUAAUUUAGUAGUUUUAAAUAAUCCAUAGAAAG